AGAGUUUGAUCAUGGCUCAGGACGAACGCUGGCGGCGUGCCUAACACAUGCAAGUCGAACGGUUGAGAGGUGAGAGUUGGGAGGUUAGAAGUGAGAGCUUGAAGGUAUUGGCCAACAUGCCAAUACCAGCAAUGAAGUCUCACAUCCCGCUUCCCACAUCUCACUUCUCAAUAGUGGCGGACGGGUGAGUAACGCGUGGGCAACCUACCCAUCAGACUGGGAUAACACCGGGAAACUGGUGCUAAUACCGGAUACGCUUAUGGAGGGGCAUCCCUUUGUAAGGAAAGAAAAUCGCUGAUGGAUGGGCCCGCGUCUGAUUAGCUAGUUGGUGGGGUAGUGGCCUACCAAGGCGACGAUCAGUAGCCGGCCUGAGAGGGUGACCGGCCACACUGGGACUGAGACACGGCCCAGACUCCUACGGGAGGCAGCAGUGGGGAAUAUUGCGCAAUGGGGGAAACCCUGACGCAGCAACGCCGCGUGAGUGACGAAGGCCUUCGGGUCGUAAAGCUCUGUCGACAGGGACGAAUAGAUGACGGUACCUGAGGAGGAAGCCCCGGCUAACUACGUGCCAGCAGCCGCGGUA
RNAcentral lists this ribosomal RNA (583 nucleotides) under uncultured bacterium. RNAcentral describes it as "bacterial SSU rRNA". It matches the Rfam family "Bacterial small subunit ribosomal RNA", at positions 8 to 522 of the family's 1533-position model. The record is from RNAcentral.